This 1176-nucleotide long non-coding RNA is filed under the name Medicago truncatula (barrel medic). RNAcentral describes it as "long non-coding RNA (MTRU_LNC001512)". The record is from RNAcentral. Lineage: Eukaryota; Viridiplantae; Streptophyta; Magnoliopsida; Fabales; Fabaceae.
AAACCCUGAACCCUAAACAACAAGCCAAAAAAAAAAAAACAAUAUUUUCAUGCGAGGGAAUCAAAUUCAACACAUGAAUUACAUUCAUAUUGAGAAAAUCAGUUCAACAGCGACAAAAUCAUUAUCAAUAACAAGGAAAAAAAAACCCAGUAACACAUAAAACACAUGCUAAAAAACAAAGCGAUUAAAAAAUUUAAGGAAAGAGAGAGAAAGGGAGAUGAAUUUACAGGUCAGUGACAGUGGCGAUUGCUUUGCAGGUCGCGAGAUGAGAAGAAAUUGAGUAAGAGGUUUAGGGUUUAGGGUAAUUUGAAAAUUAAAAAGAACUAUCGAAAUCAGGUGAAGUUUAGCAUGGGAAAGACUAAUUUUUUCCAUCAUGGAAAAGUUAGUUUUUAACCAUUAGAUCAAACCAAGAACACAUCCUUACCAUACUCCCUCAUCACUAGAUUUUGUAAUUUUAUAAUUUUAAAACCAUUUUUUAAAAAUAAAAAAUAUAUUUCGAAAUUAAAAUAAACAUUUAAAAAUAAAAAAUAAACUUAAUUUUGGAAAUUAAUUUUCCAAAAUUUUAAAAAAUAUAAAUAAACUUGUUUUCAAAAAAUUUAAUUAUGAUUUUCGAAGAUUUAAUUUUUGUAAUUUUCAAAAAUUAAUUUGCAUAUUGUAUUAGAAUUUUAUUACAUCGAAAAAAAUGUAAAGCCUUACCUGAAGGUGAAAUCGAGAAUUCUUCAAAGUUUCGGAAAAUCAUAAUUAAAUUUGAAAAUUACAAAAAUUAAAUCUUCGAAAAUCAUAAUUAAAUUUUUUGAAAACAAGUUUAUUUCAAAAAGUUUAUUUAUAUUUUUUAAAAUUUUGGAAAAUUAAUUUCCAUAUUUUUAAAUUUAUUUUUUAUUUUUAUAUGUUUAUUUUAAUUUCAAAAUAUAUUUUUUGUUUUUAAAAAAUGGUUUUAAAAUAAUAAAAUUACAAAAUCUAGUGAUGAGGGAGUAUGGUAAGGAUGUGUUCUUGGUUUGAUCUAAUGGUUAAAAACUAACUUUCCCAUGGUGGAAAAAAUUAGUCUUUCCCAUGCUAAACUUCACCUGGAAAUCAACCUAUUUAUCAUAUGAUCGCAUGAUUGUAGGAGAAAAUAAAACGUUUGAAGUUGCAGCUUGUAGCGGAAUCCACGUUAAUACGUCACGAUUUGGAAGCAGA